Molecule: long non-coding RNA, 200 nt
Filed under: Musa acuminata (dwarf banana)
Lineage: Eukaryota; Viridiplantae; Streptophyta; Magnoliopsida; Zingiberales; Musaceae
Description: long non-coding RNA (MACU_LNC011214)
Source: RNAcentral
UAUUAUAGAUAUGAUUGGAUUCUGAUUAUGGUUAUUGGCCAAUAGAAAAGAAGUCCAUGUUAAAGUAGGAUUCCUUAGGAGAUAACCUUGAUGGGAGGAACUCUCCUAAUAACUUAUCCUAGACCCUCUGCUCUCACCUAUAAAUAGACAGGACCUCUAGGGGCUAAGGGGGUAUCUGAUAGAUAGGACCUCUAGGGGUU